Molecule: ribosomal RNA, 452 nt
Filed under: uncultured Glomus
Lineage: Eukaryota; Fungi; Glomeromycota; Glomeromycetes; Glomerales; Glomeraceae
Description: SSU rRNA
Rfam family: Eukaryotic small subunit ribosomal RNA
Source: RNAcentral
AGCAGCCGCGGUAAUUCCAGCUCCAAUAGCGUAUAUUAAAGUUGUUGCAGUUAAAAAGCUCGUAGUUGAAUUUCGGGAUCAAUGCGUCGGUCGUGCCUCGGUACGCACUAACGAUAUUGACCUCUACCUUCUGACGAACCGUGAUGUCAUUAAUUUGGUGUUACGGGGGGUUAGGACUGUUACUUUGAAAAAAUUAGAGUGUUUAAAGCAAGCAAUCGCUCGAAUACAUUAGCAUGGAAUAAUGAAAUAGGACGUUCGAACCUAUUUUGUUGGUUUCUAGGAUCGACGUAAUGAUUAAUAGGGAUAGUUGGGGGCAUUAGUAUUCAAUUGUCAGAGGUGAAAUUCUUGGAUUUAUUGAAGACUAACUACUGCGAAAGCAUUUGCCAAGGAUGUUUUCAUUAAUCAAGAACGAAAGUUAGGGGAUCGAAGACGAUCAGAUACCGUCGUAGUCU